GAGUUUGAUCCUGGCUCAGGACGCUCGGAGGCGGCGUGCCUAAAACAUGCAAGUCGAACGAGGUAGCAAUACCUAGUGGCGAACGGCGGAGUAAUACAUGAACAACGUGCCCUGAAGUCCGGGACAAACGCAGAAAUGCCAUAAAUACCGGAUGUGGUGGAGAGAUGGCAUCAUCAUUCCAUUAAAUGGUUUUUCGCUUCAGGAGCGGUUCAUGGCCUAUCAGGUAGUUGGUGGGGUAAUGGCCUACCAAGCCGACGACAGGUAGCGGGUCUGAGAGGAUGAUCCGCUCGAGUGGGACUGAGACACGGCCCACACACCUACGGGUGGCAGUAGUUGGGAAUCUUGCACAAUGGGGGAAACCCUGAUGCAGCGACGCCGCGUGGAGGAUGACGGAUCUAGGUCUGUAAACUCCUUUUUCAUGGAAAGACUUAGGACGGUACCAUGAGAAUAAGGACCGGCUAACUACGUGCCAGCAGCCGCGGUAAGACGUAGGGUCCAAGCGUUGUCCGGAUUUACUGGGCGUAAAGAGCGCGUAGGCGGCUUGUUAAGUGUGAAGUGAAAUCUCCAGGGCUCAACCCGGAAACUGCUUCGCAUACUGGCAAGCUUGAGGAAUGCAGAGGUUUGUGGAAUUCCUGGUGUAACGGUGAAAUGUGUUGAUAUCAGGAGGAACACCCAUGGCGAAGGCAGCAAACUGGGCAUUAUCUGACGCUGAGGCGCGAAAGCGUGGGUAGCAAACAGGAUUAGAUACCCUGGUAGUCCACGCCCUAAACGAUGGAUACUAGGCGUAAGAGGUAUCGACC
RNAcentral lists this ribosomal RNA (800 nucleotides) under uncultured bacterium. RNAcentral describes it as "bacterial SSU rRNA". It matches the Rfam family "Bacterial small subunit ribosomal RNA", at positions 9 to 837 of the family's 1533-position model. The record is from RNAcentral.